Gallus gallus (chicken) is the source of this 4678-nucleotide long non-coding RNA. The record is from Ensembl. NCBI's taxonomy places the organism in Eukaryota, Metazoa, Chordata, Aves, Galliformes, Phasianidae.
GUGCAGCUAGAACUCUGGCUGCAGUCAGCACCCCCAUCGUGCCUCUGGGCAUGUUGUUCUUUGGUCCUCUUCUGUAUGGUAACAAGCCAAAGCAUAGUACAGUACUCCUGUCUUCAUACCCUGAAGCAUUUGGCAAUAUUACAGCAAUUCAGAAAGAAGGUGUGUAAAUGAUAUUCCUGUAUAACAAAAUAGGAUACAGGGGAUAAUACUGUACAGCUGCUUGUUCAGGUUUUAUUUCUUUUUCAAUAUCAGUGUAUAUUUCCUGUCAGAGGUAAAACAAAAAUCUUAAUGAUGUAUUACCAUUGCUGUUGUUUGGUUUUUAACAUUGCAGUCACAAUAGUUUUGCAGUAGAGUGGCUGAAAAGCUGCACACUCGCUUGGAGGUUCUGUAACAUAAAACAUAACAAUCCUUGAGAAUUACAGACAGUACAUAUCUAAGUCUUGCAGAUCAGACUAGCAGCACACAUGCUUUAUGGCUUUGUGAUUUAGAGUUGUUUUUUUUUUCCUUUGCCUGUGUCCCUGACAGACAACUUUAUUUUCUACACAAAUGUUCUGCUCAAAUUAUGUCCAAAUCCAGAUAUCCUGCAUCUAACUGGGCCUUAGAACAGUGUGAGGGAGUUUGGCAUUGUUGCCAUCCAUUUUCCUGGCCAACUUUGUCUUAGCAGUUGUGCUGACAAGCAUCAAACUCUAGUACAGCGCCACCAGGAUACUCAUUCCUGCUCUGAAGGUGCUUUAGAAGAUGGAAAAUUAUAGGUGAUAGCUGUCUGGGCCCAGGACUUGCUAAGGGUGUGUUUAGUGCCUCUGAUCAGAGGAUGACCACAGAACACACAUUUUCUCAUGACAGAGAAAGCAAAUAUUGUGUUGUGUCAUGAUGAAAGAAAUAAGCCUCCCUUUGCUAUCUCACUGAUGUGGAUCUGUAGCUUGAAUAGUGACAACAGCAGACGUGCCGUGUAUUGAUGUUCUCAUCGUCUUUCUGCUAAGGCUCUCAUUUGCUUUGUCCAUGGAAGAAGACUUUGCAGGUGUUCUUUAUUCCUAAUGCAUCUGUAGGAAUAUGAAUGAUUAAGAAUGUCUUUCUGAAGAAAGCAAAGUGGAAGAAGGUAGUUCAGAACAGACACUUAGAAGCAGAAACAGGACGCUCUCCCUUCCUUAGGGAGCACUGAAAUUCUUUGAUGCCAGCAAGCUUGCUUAUACUUCAGAAAGCUGUUUCCUGAAGCUAUGCCUCUUUUCAUUUCCCUGCAGAUGAUGCUUCUGACAAGUCUUUAGGUCUAGCAGGAGUGAGUAAUAGUAAAUAUUCUAAUAGGUAAAUUUUGGCAGAUUUAAAAGUACGUGAACAGAUGUACUAUACAAGUGUCAAUUUUCUUGAGUACUUAGUUCUUGAAGCAACAUUGCACUUUAAUCUUUCCAAGUAUUUCUUUUUUGCUAAGGCAAUAAAAAGUCUGAAAAUGACAAGCAGAUCAUGGGCUUUGCAGUCCUCUGAGGAAGAGAAAAGGAAUGUAUUAACUUACAGCUUCAUCUUUUAAACUCGGGAAGCGGCUCAUCAGGUCUGCUCGCCAAACAGAGGCAGCAAUAUCUACUGUUGUCGAUACAGAGUUGAAAUGAUAGGACAAAUCAGUCGUAUCAUGAGCAUCUUUAUUGUAGAAAUUACUUCUCAGAAUUCAUCAGCUACUUGAUUUGGGGUCUCUCUAGCACUGCCCUGUUAGUGAUGUUGAAGAUGGUAGUGCACAGCACUAACUUUUCCGGAGGUACUGUAGUCGUAGCUGACUGUUGGUCUCAGGAUAGUGACAGAAGACAAAAAUAAUAUGCAUAAAUGGAAUAGCACACAGAAUAUCUGAACCAUGAAGAAUGAGCAAUUUGUAAUGUUGCAACCAAAAGCUUGACUUACUACCUCCAGUCCUGCUGCCCAGAUCCUUUGGAUCAGCUGGGAACUACGAGGCUGCUUUACGCAUUGGGGGGACUGGCAGCUGCCUGACGUUCAGCCUUCAUUUCAGGACUCCACCUUUUCUGCCCCAAAUCAUCCUAGCACUUAGUAAGUUGACCAGUUGUCAGAUGCCUGGCCAAAGAGGAGAUUUUUAUUAAGAAAAGCUGUUUUAUGGUGUAAUUACUAUUUUAGCACAUUGGCCAAAUGUUUGGUUUUGCUCAUAACUUUUAACAAGCGGCACCACAAAGCGCUCUCAGUGGUAGAAUAGGGUUCUACUUUUGGCUAAGGAGUGUUUGUAAGAUGGUGGCUGACACAGCGGUCAGAAGAGAGCAGAUGUAAAAGGGGCAGAAUCAGAAGCUCGGGCUAGUAGUGGUGGGUGUUGGUUUUAGACAAAAAAGCAUUCGUUCUCAAUAAAAGAUGCUUAAGAAUGUUUCUGUGAGGAAAAUGGUUUCAGGUCAGAGCUCUGGUUAUGGCGAACGUUUUACUGUAUUACUGAAUGAAGUAAAUCUUUUCCAGUUCUGUAUUUCAUUUUACACACGCUACCUCUGAAACGUAACUCCACCUUUAAAACCACACAGAAAAUGUGAAUUAAAAAAUAAAAUAAAAAAGCUUUUAUAGGCAAUAAAUUAUUUCCAACACACAUCCUCCACUUUUGUGCCUGUUUUUUAGUUGUGUGAAGCAUUCAGUUUGCUUUUCGUUCUGGUACUGUUUCAUGCAUUUGUCUCAAUCUAUGGACAGGGAAGUAAUGCAGGUGUGAUAUUUGGGGAAAAAAGAUUAGCAUAUGUUAAUGGUAGUGAAUAUUUCUAUUAAUGCUCAAGGAUGGGACAGUAAAUUUUCGCAGCUGUACAGUUUUUGGUACAGCUAUUGUAAGAAAUGGAUAUUAUACUUAGAACUACUCCGGUACCAAAUGACUGAUGCGAUGUUUCUUAGUGCACCAUAGAUGAAUUGAUCAGAGGGAUCAGUCAGACAGCCAGUCUCAGCAGUGUGAUGAGAAGGGAUAGAAUUUUACUUUUUUUCUAUUUUAUUUUAUUUUUCCUAAUAACCAUAUGUAUAAAAACCUUUAGGAACAGUUUUGAUUUGCUUGUAAGCAAGUGUGACGUUAAAAUGACUCAGGGGCAAGCUACAGCUCCCUUGUAAAUGCAGACCAUUGUUGGGUAGCAAAAUGUGAUCUUAAGAAGAAGCAAGUCAGUCAUUUCCCCCAUGUCUGUGCCCAUGAAAGAUGGGGAGGGGGCGGUGGAACCAACGCACCCUUGGAGCCAUGGGUGUGGGGAGGGAGGCAGGGAGGUGCCGGGUGCCACGGCAGCUGUGUGGCUGCGGUGGAGGCCUUGGGGCCUGUCCAUGUGAAUGAAAUAGAUGGAGACGUUCCCACCCCUCAGACAGCACGAGCUUCUGCGUUGUCUCAGAUGCUGUGAAGUGCAGCUGAUAAAAUCGUGGCAGAAUCAGCUGAAUUGCGUGUGGGGAAAAAUGUUGCUCUGUAGUGGGCAUGGUACUGUUUGUGUGGGUUCUGGAAUUACUCAGAGUGCACAUGAGUCCGUGUAUGCAGAGUUACAGUGUGCACAGAUACAACGGACACGAUAGCGUUGGCACCUGCAGAGCUACUUCCACUUAAAACGUUAAUGUAAUUCAUAUAGAAAUACUUCAUUUGGGCUCAUUUGUGUAAGUUUUACUGCACUGAUUACAUGGUUCUGUACAUCUGUACAAUACAGGUUAUUGUCCAACUGCAAAACCGGUGAUUUGUAGGAUUGGAAGUUAGUUAAAAAGUCCUCAGUGAUGAUAUUCGUAAGUGAUAUUGGCAUAUAAACAAACUGCUGUAUUUAUGCAGAGGUAGUGAAUCUUCUGCCACGAUAAUUUCUGUUUUAAUUUCACAAAAGGUAUUGGUUUGAUGUCAUUUUUCUUCGGAAGGUUUAAACAUGAAUCUGUUCCGUAGGUGUUUUCAUUAGCCAACAAAAAGCAAUGUUAAAACAAGGAUGAUUUCCUUCUGGGCCGAUCUGCCAAGGCUCAUAACCCGAGUGGCUCAUUGAAUCUCUGUGACACGUCAGUAUUUAUAUUGCAUUUCUAUUAUUUGUAUCAGUAUGUGUAGCAAAAAAAUUGCUCUAAAUCUUGACCUGAUGUACCUCCACUGUAGCCCAGGACGUUGGAUCUUGGCUUAUUUGAGAGAUGGAUGCCUAGUGAAAUAUUCCAUGCAUUUAUAUUGAUUUUUUUUUCUUGCUGUUGUUCUGUAUAUAUAAGGGUAUUUAUAAUUCUGUAUUAACAGAGAUGCUCAUUUCCUUCUCCAGAAGUCUGCUCAGCUAUUUUUAUAUAAAAUGUUGGUCUUUGCCUUAAUUUUUUUGUGCAAGUCGUGCCAUAGAUACUUUAACUUAUCCACAGGUAGUUCAUGCAAUUUGCUUUGAAAUGUCUUUGGUUAAUGAUUUUUUUUUUCCUCAAAUCAUUCUAAAUUGUUUUCUCCUCCAAGUGUACGAUGAGAUUUUUUUUCUUCUUAAUCUUGGUUUUGUUCCGUUUCGAAGAUACCCCGGUAUGCAUGCUUCGGUUAGAGCCAGCUUUUUCUCUGUAGCUUAUUGUUUCUAGUUAAAAAUCCUUCUACUGAAAAAGAAAGAAAUGAAGUAAUGCUUGUACAGAUGUGUCUAUAGCGCCCAGACGGUCAGAGCCAAGGGCUAUUUAGCGUUGGUAACUUUGUCUACUAGACUCAAGGAUAUUUUUCUACGUCUGUCACGUUUGGGCCUAUGGCGAAAUGAAAUAAAGGUGAACCGACUCCUUUUCCUAC